UCUGCUUCUCCUUCCAAGUCAAACAAAUGCUCAUGCCACACAAUUUUAUUUUUGCAGCUUCGGCUCUCAGUGGCAUCUAUGGAGGAAGUCAAGUACUGACUAGCUUCAUGGAGGCUUUCCACGUUCUCAGAGUCUACGGACAAAUGAACACAAACCACUGGGAGAUGCCCUGCCAGACAGAGAUGAAUAGGACGGCCGGCGGGCGCGCGCUGCUGGGCACAGCCCCAGGCUCAGCGCUCAGAAGGACUGCUGCUGACCCACCAGUGGUGUCCUGUGCAGCUGGAAGCAGAGCUCCCCAGUGAGAUGAGAGACCACUCCUCCAUGUGGAUUCAUGUCAGCACCAUGUGGCUUUGGGAGAAAGAACCUCAAACCCUGAGUUAAAUGUGGGAAGAAUUCGGAGAUGAGGAGAUUAAGAAAGGGUGCAGACUGCAGGUUAAGAAAGAUCUGUGUCAUGGCAAGGGAUGGCUGAACUAUUGUUUUGGUGUUAAUUACUGAAUAUGAAACAUGAACGUCUGUUUUUGCUGUGAUUUCUUAACCUGAGUCUGCAACUGCUUUUUAUACUUUUCAUUUUUUGACAGCUAGGGAAAAGACACCCUUUGGUAUGCUGGGCAACCUCAAGGCAAAGGCAAAUGCUUCCAAACCAGCUAACAGUAACAGCUGUCUGAGGUUUUGCCCAUAGGAUGGGUGGUGUCUCACACAGCAAAGAUAUGAAAGAUUUGUGCUGUACUGAGCUUGGAAAAGUGCUUUCUUGAGCAGGGGCACAACCAGCCCCUCUAUGUACUCUGUGAGCCAUGAAAGACAUUGUUUGUUGCCCAAGCCUCGACCUGGACCUUGAGCAUGUGGAGUUCUCUGCCUGCUGCCACCACCUCUACAACUGAGUGUAACCAGCCAAGCUGGAGCCAGUGCUCAUCUGCAUCUCAGCUUCACCUCACCCCAAUGUGAAGAGCUGGCCACGAGAACACUUUUUGUUCAUU
Molecule: long non-coding RNA, 974 nt
Filed under: Phasianus colchicus (ring-necked pheasant)
Lineage: Eukaryota; Metazoa; Chordata; Aves; Galliformes; Phasianidae
Description: lncRNA (ENSPCLG00000010221.1)
Source: RNAcentral